RNAcentral lists this ribosomal RNA (253 nucleotides) under uncultured bacterium. RNAcentral's name for it is "partial 16S ribosomal RNA". It matches the Rfam family "Bacterial small subunit ribosomal RNA", at positions 524 to 776 of the family's 1533-position model. The record is from RNAcentral.
UACGGAGGGUGCGAGCGUUAAUCGGAAUUACUGGGCGUAAAGGGUGCGUAGGUGGUUGUAUAAGUUAUCUGUGAAAUCCCCGGGCUCAACCUGGGCAGGUCAGAUAAGACUGUAUGACUCGAGUAUGGGAGAGGGUAGUGGAAUUUCCGGUGUAGCGGUGAAAUGCGUAGAGAUCGGAAGGAACACCAGUGGCGAAGGCGGCUACCUGGCCCAAUACUGACACUGAGGCACGAAAGCGUGGGGAUCAAACAGG